This 426-nucleotide ribosomal RNA is filed under the name uncultured bacterium. Its description in RNAcentral is "partial 16S ribosomal RNA". It matches the Rfam family "Bacterial small subunit ribosomal RNA", at positions 354 to 796 of the family's 1533-position model. The record is from RNAcentral.
GUGAGGAAUUUUCCGCAAUGGGCGAAAGCCUGACGGAGCAAUGCCGCGUGAAGGAUGAAGGCCUAUGGGUUGUAAACUUCUUUUUUUAGAGAAGAAUAUUGACGGUAUCUGAGGAAUAAGCAUCGGCUAACUCUGUGCCAGCAGCCGCGGUAAGACAGAGGAUGCAAGCGUUAUCCGGAAUGAUUGGGCGUAAAGCGUCUGUAGGUGGCUUCAAAAGUCUCCUGUCAAAGAUCAGGGCUUAACCCUGGGCCGGCAGGAGAAACUCUGAGGCUAGAGUUUGGUAGGGGCAGAGGGAAUUCCCGGUGGAGCGGUGAAAUGCGUAGAGAUCGGGAGGAACACCAAAGGCGAAAGCACUCUGCUGGGCCACAACUGACACUGAGAGACGAAAGCGAGGGGAGCAAAAGGGAUUAGAAACCCGGGUAGUCC